CCUACGGGUGGCAGCAGUGAGGAAUAUUGGUCAAUGGGCGGAAGCCUGAACCAGCCAAGUCGCGUGAGGGAUUAAGGCCCUGCGGGUCGUAAACCUCUUUUGCCUGGGAGCAGAGGUCCGGACGUGUCCGGGCCGGGAGAGUACCCGGAGAAAAAGCAUCGGCUAAAUCCGUGCCAGCAGCCGCGGUAAUACGGAGGAUGCGAGCGUUAUCCGGAUUUAUUGGGUUAAAGGGGUGCGUAGGCGGGCAUUUAAGCCGGCGGUCAAAUGUCGGGGCUCAACCCCGGCCUGCCGUCGGAACUGGGUGCCUUGAGUGGGCGAGAAGUAUGCGGAAUGCGUGGUGUAGCGGUGAAAUGCAUAGAUAUCACGCAGAACCCCGAUUGCGAAGGCAGCAUACCGGCGCCCUACUGACGCUGAGGCACGAAAGUGCGGGUAUCGAACAGGAUUAGAUACCCCGGUAGUC
Molecule: ribosomal RNA, 460 nt
Filed under: uncultured bacterium
Lineage: Bacteria
Description: partial 16S ribosomal RNA
Rfam family: Bacterial small subunit ribosomal RNA
Source: RNAcentral